CUGACGGUGCUGCAACAACAUGUCUCCCUCGACAUUUUGCCGAACACUUGGCACGCGCACGGCGGUGGCAGCGAGUCGAAGCAAGGGAAGGUGCCGGGGCUGUUGGGUGCCAUCUCGAAGGGCGUCAGGGAGGAGAUAGCAGGGGGAGGCGCUGCUCCACCCAAACCAGAGAGAGGGCGCGAGUCCCAGGCGUUUCCUGGCCGCGGUAGGGAAGAGAAAAAGGGGGGCGCCAUGGCCAUGGAGAAAAUGGAGCUGCUGUGUCAUGCCAUGGACAUGGACCUCGCCGAGGUCGACCCAAGGAGCUCCUGCGCGCAGGGUAGAAAUGCUCCCUGCCGCAGCCGCUCUCUAGGGGGAGGAGCAGUGAGGGUGCUCGGCCUGCAAUAG
Molecule: unclassified non-coding RNA, 384 nt
Filed under: Zea mays
Lineage: Eukaryota; Viridiplantae; Streptophyta; Magnoliopsida; Poales; Poaceae
Description: misc RNA Zm00001eb308320
Source: RNAcentral